RNAcentral lists this transfer RNA (74 nucleotides) under Caudoviricetes sp. RNAcentral describes it as "tRNA-Asn". It matches the Rfam family "tRNA". From Rfam's summary of the family: Transfer RNA (tRNA) molecules are approximately 80 nucleotides in length. Lineage: Duplodnaviria; Heunggongvirae; Uroviricota; Caudoviricetes. The record is from RNAcentral.
UCUCGGAUAGCUCAGUCGGUAGUAGCAAGUGACUGUUAAUCACUGGGUCGUAGGUUCAAGUCCUACUCCGAGAG